AGACAGCCUUACAUAACGAAACCCCAGUGCUGGGGAGCUCUCUGAAUGUCAUCACCAGCAAGAGUAAGAAGUAUUGGCAGAAGCAGGCAGGCAGGCAGGCUGGGAGUUUGCAUGGAAAUCAUAAAGUCUUUCUUGUCUUCCUCUUUUGAAAUAUUUUGGAAGGAGAGUUAAGAAUAGCUCAGAAACUGGUCUCAUUCUUUUCGUGGGAAGAAUGACCAGAAGCAUAAAAGCUAAGUCUUCUAGCAAGUGGAAGACUCCUCUUUCAGUGUCUGCAGUAAACGUAACAAAAAUGAAUUGCUAUCACUAAAGUCCUGUACCAUGACACCUAAGAUGACGGAAAUGGUAAAGCAAAGUAAUAACUCAAAGACUGUCACCGAGGGCUUUUGUCUACAUUUAGCUCAAUGUGCUUGGAAUUUAUUCCUUCUAUUUGUUGCCUCAUCCUCUUGAGAUGGCUGCCUGACUUCCCGCAUCCUAACUGCAUUCCAGGGAGAAGCACAGGAAGAGCAAAAGGCAUAAGACAUAUGCCAGGAACGUGACCUCAUCAGACAGUAAAUCAAGAGGUAGUGACAACUAUGGCUGAAUGAUGGUCCCUGCCUAGGAUUUGGAAUAUCUGCAUGAAAUAGGGACUCGAGCCACCAGUGACAAAGAAGUCAGAGGGACUGUUGUCUCUGGGAAGCACUUCCAGGAAACAUGAAUUCAGGCAAAGUUGGACAUUCCAAAGAUGGCGUAGAUGAACAUGACCAGGAAGAGCAGAAGGCCGAUGUUAAACAACGCGGGAAGGGACAUCAUCAAAGCAAAGAGCAGCGUGCGGAUCCCCUUUGCUCCUUUGAUCAGACGCAGGAUUCGGCCAAUCCUGGCAAGACGGAUCACUCGGAACAGGGUAGGGGACACAAAAUACUUUUCAAUCAUAUCAGCCAGAAACAUACCUGUGUGUGGAGGGAAAUAAUAGAAAUAAAAUAUUUAAAUAUCUAUGCUAC
Long non-coding RNA from Sapajus apella (tufted capuchin), 977 nucleotides. RefSeq lists it as uncharacterized. Lineage: Eukaryota; Metazoa; Chordata; Mammalia; Primates; Cebidae. The record is from RefSeq and is a predicted model, not a curated record. The transcript has 4 exons.